UACGUAGGGGGCAAGCGUUGUCCGGAAUCAUUGGGCGUAAAGAGCGUGUAGGCGGCCAGAAAAGUCCGCUGUGAAAACUCGAGGCUCAACUUCGAGCUGUCGGUGGAAACUUUCUGGCUAGAGUCCGGAAGAGGAGAAUGGAAUUCCUGGUGUAGCGGUGAAAUGCGCAGAUAUCUGGAGGAACACCGGUGGCGAAGGCGGAUCUCUGGGCCUUACCUGACCGCUGAGGCGGCGGAAAAGCUAGGG
RNAcentral lists this ribosomal RNA (246 nucleotides) under uncultured bacterium. RNAcentral describes it as "partial 16S ribosomal RNA". It matches the Rfam family "Bacterial small subunit ribosomal RNA", at positions 524 to 765 of the family's 1533-position model. The record is from RNAcentral.